UAGUAAUCGCAGGUCAGCAUACUGCGGUGAAUACGUUCCCGGGCCUUGUACACACCGCCCGUCACACCAAUCGAGUUGGAUGCACCAGAAGUCAUCUGCGGAUGCCAAAGGUGUGUCCGGUAAGAGGGGUGAAGUCGUAACAAGGUAGCCGUACCGGAAGGUGCGGCUGGAUCACCUCCUUU
This 182-nucleotide non-coding RNA is filed under the name Halanaerobium saccharolyticum subsp. saccharolyticum DSM 6643. Its description in RNAcentral is "Bacterial small subunit ribosomal RNA". It matches the Rfam family "Bacterial small subunit ribosomal RNA", at positions 1336 to 1533 of the family's 1533-position model. Lineage: Bacteria; Bacillati; Bacillota; Clostridia; Halanaerobiales; Halanaerobiaceae. The record is from Rfam by way of RNAcentral.